UAGGGAAUCUUCGGCAAUGGACGAAAGUCUGACCGAGCAACGCCGCGUGAGUGAAGAAGGUUUUCGGAUCGUAAAACUCUGUUGUUAGAGAAGAACAAGGACGUUAGUAACUGAACGUCCCCUGACGGUAUCUAACCAGAAAGCCACGGCUAACUACGUGCCAGCAGCCGCGGUAAUACGUAGGUGGCAAGCGUUGUCCGGAUUUAUUGGGCGUAAAGCGAGCGCAGGCGGUUUCUUAAGUCUGAUGUGAAAGCCCCCGGCUCAACCGGGGAGGGUCAUUGGAAACGGGGAGACUUGAGUGCAGAAGAGGGGAGUGGAAUUCCAUGUGUAGCGGUGAAAUGCGUAGAUAUAUGGAGGAACACCAGUGGCGAAGGCGGCUCUCUGGUCUGUAGCUGACGAUGAGGCUCGAAAGCGUGGGGAGCAAACAGG
RNAcentral lists this ribosomal RNA (429 nucleotides) under Gemmatimonadota bacterium. Its description in RNAcentral is "Gemmatimonadetes bacterium partial 16S ribosomal RNA". It matches the Rfam family "Bacterial small subunit ribosomal RNA", at positions 355 to 776 of the family's 1533-position model. The record is from RNAcentral. Lineage: Bacteria; Pseudomonadati; Gemmatimonadota.